UAGGGAAUCUUCGGCAAUGGACGAAAGUCUGACCGAGCAACGCCGCGUGAGUGAAGAAGGUUUUCGGAUCGUAAAACUCGGUUGGUAGAGAAGAACGUUGGUGAGAGUGGAAAGCUCAUCAAGUGACGGUAACUACCCAGAAAGGGACGGCUAACUACGUGCCAG
RNAcentral lists this ribosomal RNA (165 nucleotides) under uncultured bacterium. Its description in RNAcentral is "partial 16S rRNA". It matches the Rfam family "Bacterial small subunit ribosomal RNA", at positions 355 to 511 of the family's 1533-position model. The record is from RNAcentral.